RNAcentral lists this long non-coding RNA (1878 nucleotides) under Lactuca sativa (garden lettuce). RNAcentral's name for it is "long non-coding RNA (LSAT_LNC005677)". Lineage: Eukaryota; Viridiplantae; Streptophyta; Magnoliopsida; Asterales; Asteraceae. The record is from RNAcentral.
AAAAGAAAAACAACCUCACAUCAAAAGAAAUUCACAACCUUGUGAACAUUAGAAACAAAAAACCUUCCAUAAUCCAUUGAACAUAGACAGGCUCAGGGUGAAAAUAAUAUAGUAAUAACCUAUUGUUUAAAAUAGGAAAAACAAACUUACCCAACAUUUGUUGGUCAAAAAAUACAUUCUGUACAUGUCAACUUGCAAAAUUGUGCCCAUGGAAAGAAAUAUAGUCCACCAGAUUAAUGAGCUUGAAAAUUAGUUUUAUGUUUGAACUCACAAUGCUUAUAUAGUAGAUAAUACUUGAAAUAGAGGUAUUUGGAUACGAUGGUGAAGUUGGAUUAGUCUCCUCAUUAACAUGGGUAAUUUCGACAUUUGACUUUGUCUUCUCCUCAUCCUUAUCAGUAGAAGUAGGAAUUUGAGAAACAACUUCUUUAGAUGCCUUCCUGGAAAUGAUGGCAACUUGUAUAUCUGCUUCAACUUCUUGGAACUGGCUUCCAAACAAGUCUACAAGCUCAUAAGGAAGAAUAAUAAGUAAGCAUUCUGUUGAUUACCAUUAGCAAAAUCGGAGAACUCUUGAAACUAUCGUUUAAUAUCCAUUCAAAACUUCUUGCUUCGAAUAUUAGUUUCUCAAAUAUUAAUUGUUCCAAUAUUUUUUUUGUUAUUAGCUAUUAGAUCUUGCCUAAUGGCAAAAAUUGAUGUCGUUUGAAACUCAUUUAUCGAAAUAAGAAAGAAUACAAACCAUUAUUUUUUUAGAAGAAAAGUAAAACUGAAAAGAGAAAUAAACCAAACUUCUCCAUUCUUCAACAUAAGUCUCAUUCUCCACCACCAUCACUGACACUGUCCUUUAAAACAAACAUUUAAAAAUCAAAAACUAAAUAGAAAAAAAACGAGGAAAUAUAAGAUCCUGAAAAAUCGGUGAACAAACCCAAUGCUACUCCUUUUAGGCUUGAUUCAAAAAGUCAAAAUUCAAUGACAGUAAAGCUUACACAAAUAUGUUUUAACUUUGAACCUUUUGAAGCUCUUUCCUUAUCGUUCUCUUCUAAGCCAGAAUCAAAAAUAACUUCUUACAAUUACUUUAUCCUUCAACAUAGAGAAUCUCCGACAAUAACUUACAAAAAAAAAAAAACAACAGAGUCCAAGAAAUCAAGAAAUUAGAAGAGGGAAGCAUUAAGACGUCAAAUAUAAAAAGAGAGGUCAGAUCGAAAGGAAAUAAAAAAAUCAAGAAAUUAAGAUGGACCAAAUCUAGAACCCGAUGUCGAUAAAUCCAAAAAAUUUCUUGAACAAACAAAUGUUCUUGCGUCGUUCAGGGUUAUUAUUAGGCUUCUUUUCAAACUAAGAAAAACGUAUACCUUGCAAUUCUCUUGGUAAGAAGAAGAGAGGAAUCAUGGGAAAAAGAGAUAGGGAGAGUGGAAGAAAAAUUACCUAGGUUUUAUCAGAGCAAGCAAUAGACAAAAGGACAGAGUUAAGAAGCCCUAUACAUAUCCGGUUCUUUAUCUUCUUCAUCAUAUCGUCGAAUCGACCACUUCUGGAAUACUUGCAAUCGGUAGAGUAAAACAGAGUUAUGGGAUAUGGGAUUCACAACAUGUGAGACUCUAAAGCAUUAACAGAAAACAAACAAAAUCAUCCUAAAAUAUAAACCUUUUAGUGCUCAAAUAGAAAACAAAAAGAGAUCUUACCCACAUUUGUGUGAGCCUCUAUUUAAGAAGCAAUAUCGAAAAAGGAAGGAUAAGAAAGAAAAUCAAGAUUUUUUUAGAAAAAACUAUCAUUCUUCAACCCGCCUAUCGUCCAUCUCACCUGCAACACAUCGAAACACCAAAUCAAAAUCAUUAAAAUGAAAGAAAAUCAAACUUUUUUUUUUCUAGAAAAAAAAAACUCAUUGUCUAC